GACGAACGCUGGCGGCGUGGAUUAGGCAUGCAAGUCGAACGGUAGGAUACCUUCGGGUAUCUGAGAGUGGCGAACGGGUGAGUAACACGUAGGUGAUCUACCCUCAAGAUUGGGACAACCCAGGGAAACUUGGGCUAAUACCGGAUGAAAGCAGCAGUGAUGUUGUUUGAAAGGUGGCGUAAGCUGCCGUUUGGGGAUGAGCCUGCGCUCUAUUAGUUAGUUGGCGGGGUAAAGGCCCACCAAGGCGAUGAUAGAUAGGCGGCCUUAACGGGUGGUCGCCCACACUGGGAUUGAGAUACGGCCCAGACUCCUACGGGAGGCAGCAGUCGAGAAUAGUCUACAAUGGUCGGAAGACUGAUAGUGCGACGCCGCGUGAACGAUGAAUCCCUUCGGGGUGUAAAGUUCUUUUAUAUGUGAGCAGUGCUUCUUAUAUUAACAGUAUGGGGAGAGAGAUAUUAGCAUAUGAAUAAGCAACGGCUAACUCCGUGCCAGCAGCCGAC
This 500-nucleotide ribosomal RNA is filed under the name uncultured bacterium. RNAcentral describes it as "bacterial SSU rRNA". It matches the Rfam family "Bacterial small subunit ribosomal RNA", at positions 28 to 518 of the family's 1533-position model. The record is from RNAcentral.